GAAACAGCACAUUUUCAGUGACCCUCAAGGACAUUUCUUGCCGUAUUUACUUUGGUUACAGGUAUUGCUUUAUCCGACUGUUUAUCUUCAAGAUGUUUUGGUUCAUCUAAGAGUAUUUAGGUCAGAUCCGAGCUCACGUUUCAGCUACAAAUGACCUAUUUCUGGCCUGGCUGUCACACAGAGCAGGAAACAUCAGGCUCGCAACGGAGCCCGACCGUGCACGUGUGUGCGAGCAACUUUUAAAAAUGGCAGCUGAAAAAGGUGCCCACCGCUCGUCAUACUUACAAAUCCAUAGCCUCUGGAUUUGCCCGUCUGCCGGUCCGUGAUGACAACAGCCUCCUCGAUGUCUCCAAACACCUCGAAGUAUUUCCUGAGGCUGGAGUCGGUGGUGUGUCAGAGACUGUGAAGAAAAACGCGCUCAGAGGAGUUGCGGGAGUGAGUGUGCGGCGCGGACAGGACAGGCAGCCCCCCGGUGAUGUGACUGACUGUGGGUCUGAGGCAGGAGGAGGAGGAGGAGGAGGAGGAGGAGGACACCUGUUAGUUUGUUACGGGAGAUUUCCCAGUUGUCAGAGCGUGUGACACAGAAACUUAACUCCACCCAGAUCCAGACCACCGCACCGGAUGCCGACCGUCGCGCAGCUGCUCCAACACGCUGCGCAACAAGUCGGUCUCAUAAAGUUUCUGUCCAAGUCUGAAGAGGAUGCAGCCAGGCCACGUAGAGGUUUUUACAUCUCUCCCAGAGCUGUGGCAGGAGUUUAGAUUGAGCGACUGACUUUAUUUUAGAACCAGAACAUAAUAAUAAUAAAAAAAAGAAUAAAAAAAAAAAAAAAAAGUGAAAGUGUCCAUAUAGGAGUGGGUAGAAGUAAAACUCAUACAUCCCCAGCCCUCUCUCACUGUUCCUCUUUUAACCCAUUAUUUCAACAAAUUAUCGCAACUGAUAUACAAACAGCCACCCCCAGUUUUGUGUCACCCAAUUAAAUAAAAUCCCGGUUCAUUUACAAUCCAAAUAUCCACCCAGUGUUAGAUGAUAGAUAAUACAACCUCUCCACCUCCACAUACCAGCCAAAAAUACCUUUAAAAAAAGUUUAAAUUGAUUUAUAUUUGUGCUUUGUUUCAACUCAUCAUGCAACCCCUUCCACAGGUCCACCCCAUACACACUGACAUACACAGACUCAGUUAUUUUUUUCCAACACAUUUUAACAUUACGUCCCUCUCACAAAACUCCCCCCCCCCCCCCUUUUUUUUUUAAUGUUGCCCAGAAGUAAAUUUCUUUUGCUUUCAACAUGACUGUUGCUGUUCUAAAUUUGACCAGAUAAGUACAUUUCAAUGCCCGUGACUUUAAAAACAGUGUGGUCAUUUUUUUAUUUCAUAAAACAAAAGU
Long non-coding RNA from Acanthopagrus latus (yellowfin seabream), 1381 nucleotides. RefSeq lists it as uncharacterized. The transcript has 2 exons. The record is from RefSeq and is a predicted model, not a curated record. Lineage: Eukaryota; Metazoa; Chordata; Actinopteri; Spariformes; Sparidae.